Long non-coding RNA from Uranotaenia lowii, 618 nucleotides. RefSeq lists it as uncharacterized. NCBI's taxonomy places the organism in Eukaryota, Metazoa, Arthropoda, Insecta, Diptera, Culicidae. The transcript has 3 exons. The record is from RefSeq and is a predicted model, not a curated record.
AGAAAAAAAAAGCCGGGAAUUGCCCGGGAAGAAUAAUGUUUUCCCCAUUGCAAUGGCAAACGGAAAUGGAACUACGGAGGAGAAAAAAGCCUGGUCUGCCGGUUCUCAUGGGCGCUGGGAUUCGGAUUAGUUUCCAGUUAAAGUGAGAUAUAAAGGAAUGACUGGCGGAUUCAAAGGCUAAUAAGAGAUGAAUGCUGAGCAAAAAACUCUUAAGCUCGUUCCCAACGAUUCCACGACGGCAAGAAUGCUUUGUUCAGCAGCAGCCAGCUUAUUUUGUAGCUGUUUGGCCGGUUAUUUGAGCUGGGCCAUAGUGCUUAGUGAAUGCCCUUUAACAGCCUUCUGGCAAAUCGGAUGCCAUGACGUUAGUUGAAAUUCCUGGACUCCGGCCUGGAUGAUGCACAUCAGCGUUGGCAAAUUGUCGCUUUGCCUCUACCUUGGGCCGAAAUCUCGCUCUCCCGAUGGUAACCGGUUAGGAAGGUGGAACUGCCACCUACCUCCGCACUGCUGCUGCAGGAUUGGAUGCACCGUCGAGGGGAACCAGCACUAUCAAUUUAAAAAGGACCUAUUUUUGUGGUAAUAUCAUAAACUUUUAUUAAUUCAAGGAUAUCGAAUAAAAAU